GGGGAUAUAGCUCAGAGGUAGAGCGCUUGCCUGUUAAGCAAAGGGUCGGGAUUUCGAAAUUCUCUAUCCCCG
Molecule: transfer RNA, 72 nt
Filed under: Candidatus Methanofastidiosia archaeon
Lineage: Archaea; Methanobacteriati; Methanobacteriota; Candidatus Methanofastidiosia
Description: tRNA-Asn
Rfam family: tRNA
About the family: Transfer RNA (tRNA) molecules are approximately 80 nucleotides in length. Their secondary structure includes four short double-helical elements and three loops (D, anti-codon, and T loops). Further hydrogen bonds mediate the characteristic L-shaped molecular structure. tRNAs have two regions of fundamental functional importance: the anti-codon, which is responsible for specific mRNA codon recognition, and the 3' end, to which the tRNAs corresponding amino acid is attached (by aminoacyl-tRNA synthetases). tRNAs cope with the degeneracy of the genetic code in two manners: having more than one tRNA (with a specific anti-codon) for a particular amino acid; and 'wobble' base-pairing, i.e. permitting non-standard base-pairing at the 3rd anti-codon position.
Source: RNAcentral